GGGGAGCGGGAGAGUACUGAGAGAAAAAGACGGAAGGUCGUGGAAAAACGCUAUGUUGGGCGAGGAGUAGUAGCUGGGAUGAGGAGAGGAGAGAGACAGGCUGCGUUACCGAAUGGGCAGUCUGUUAUCUUAAAGGUCUGGCUCUACUGCCUAGGCUGGAGUGCAGUGGCACGAUCUGGGCUUACUGCAGCCUCCACAUCCCUUCAAGCAAUCCUGCCUCCACCUCCCUAGAUGCUGGGACCACAGUGGCACCUGGCUCCAUGUCCUGUAUAUGUCUGACUCCUAGAGGCCAGAGAGGCCAGGGAACUUCCUUGUACUAAGGAAUAAGAAAUACAUUGGUGAAAGGAGACCUGUCAAGGCCAAGAGUGGGGGAUACUGCCAUGGAACAUGGAUCUCUAGUAUCAAAAGGGAUGAUGGAAUUCCAGAAUACCAGAAGCCAAAUGAUAACACCCAGCUAACAGAGCAAAGCUUCCUCAUUUUCUCUUGCCACCACCAUGUAAGAAGUGCCUUUCGCCUCCCACCAUGAUUCUGAGGCCUUGCCAGCCUUGUGGAAAUGUAAGUCCAAUUAAACCUCUUUUUCUUCCCAGUCUUGGGUGGGUCUUUAUCAGCAGCAUGAAAAUGGACUAAUACAGUAAAUUGGUACCAGUAGAGUGGGGUGUUUCUGGAAAGAUACCCGAAAAUGUAGAAACAACUUUGGAACUGGGUAACAGGUAGAGGUUGGAACAGUUUGGAGGGCUCAGAGAAGACAGGAAAAUGUGAGAAAGUUUGGAACUUCCUAGAGACUUGUUGAAUGACUUUGACAAAAAUGCUGAUAGUGAUAUGAACAAUAAGGUCCAGGCUAAGGUGGUCUCAGAUAGAGACGAGGAACUUGUUGGGAACUGGAGCAAAGGUGACUCUUGUUAUGUUUUAGCAAAGGGACUGGCAGCAUUUUGCCCCUGCCCUAGGGAUUUGUGAAACUUUCAACUUGAGAGAGAUGAUUUAGGGCAUCUGGCGGAAGGAAUUUGUAAGCAGCAAAGCAUUCAAGAUGUGACUUGGUUGCUGUUAAAGGCAUUCAGUUUUAAAAGGGAAGCAGAGCAUAAAAGUUCAGAAAAUUUGCAGCCUGACAGUGCGAUAGAAAAGAAUCCUAGCUGGGCGCAGCAACUCAUGCCUGUAAUCCCAGCACUUUGGGUGGCUGAAGUGGGUGGAUCAUUUGAAGUCAGGAAUUCUAGACUACCCGGGCCAACAUGGGGAAACCCUGUCUCCACUAAAAAUACAACACUUAGCCAGGCAUGGUGGUUCAUACCUAUAAUCCCAGCUACUCAGGAGGCUGAGGCAAGAGAAUCACUUGAACCCAGGAGAUGGAGGUGGCAGUAAGUCGAGAUUGCAGCAUUGCACUCCAGCCUGGGCAACAGAGUGAGACUCCAUCAGGGAUAAAAAAAAAAAAAAA
This 1426-nucleotide long non-coding RNA is filed under the name Macaca mulatta (Rhesus monkey). Its description in RNAcentral is "lncRNA (ENSMMUG00000064810.1)". Lineage: Eukaryota; Metazoa; Chordata; Mammalia; Primates; Cercopithecidae. The record is from RNAcentral.